RNAcentral lists this ribosomal RNA (730 nucleotides) under uncultured bacterium. Its description in RNAcentral is "bacterial SSU rRNA". It matches the Rfam family "Bacterial small subunit ribosomal RNA", at positions 789 to 1515 of the family's 1533-position model. The record is from RNAcentral.
GGUAGUCCACCCCGUAAACGUUGGGAACUAGUUGUGGGGACCAUUCCACGGUUUCCGUGACGCAGCUAACGCAUUAAGUUCCCCGCCUGGGGAGUACGGCCGCAAGGCUAAAACUCAAAGGAAUUGACGGGGACCCGCACAAGCGGCGGAGCAUGCGGAUUAAUUCGAUGCAACGCGAAGAACCUUACCAAGGCUUGACAUACACCAGAACACCGUAGAAAUACGGGACUCUUUGGACACUGGUGAACAGGUGGUGCAUGGUUGUCGUCAGCUCGUGUCGUGAGAUGUUGGGUUAAGUCCCGCAACGAGCGCAACCCUCGUUCUAUGUUGCCAGCACGUAAUGGUGGGAACUCAUGGGAUACUGCCGGGGUCAACUCGGAGGAAGGUGGGGAUGACGUCAAAUCAUCAUGCCCCUUAUGUCUUGGGCUUCACGCAUGCUACAAUGGCCGGUACAAAGGGCUGCAAUACCGUGAGGUGGAGCGAAUCCCAAAAAGCCGGUCCCAGUUCGGAUUGAGGUCUGCAACUCGACCUCAUGAAGUCGGAGUCGCUAGUAAUCGCAGAUCAGCAACGCUGCGGUGAAUACGUUCCCGGGUCUUGUACACACCGCCCGUCAAGUCAUGAAAGUCGGUAACACCUGAAGCCGGUGGCCCAAUCCUUGUGGAGGGAGCCGUCGAAGGUGGGAUCGGUAAUUAGGACUAAGUCGUAACAAGGUAGCCGUACCGGAAGGUGC